Molecule: non-coding RNA, 30 nt
Filed under: Homo sapiens (human)
Lineage: Eukaryota; Metazoa; Chordata; Mammalia; Primates; Hominidae
Source: RNAcentral
UGUGACUGAGGAGCUUCCUUGAUUGGCUGC